Bemisia tabaci is the source of this 992-nucleotide non-coding RNA. Lineage: Eukaryota; Metazoa; Arthropoda; Insecta; Hemiptera; Aleyrodidae. The record is from RefSeq and is a predicted model, not a curated record.
CGGAGCGACCGCGUUUGUGAGACUUGUCCGAUCGUAGCCUCGAACUUGAUGCUUUCGUUUUUUCCAAGUUCUCUCGCGUGGUUUCAUUUCAAAAAAACCCUAACUCAAAGCUCGAGGAACGAAAGUUCAUACCUUUUGAUCCUCGCGUUGAAUUGUGAUCGAAUUGUGAUCCAAAAAACACGCCGUGUGUCGCAUUACACGUUACACGUGGAGCUUUAACUUUCAAUCGCGUUGGAGAACAAUCGACUUUUAUCAGUGUAAAACGUUGUGUUUUGGAUGAACUUUUACUUGGUUCUCAUUGAGGACGGUAUCCACGAUGAACGUUAAUAUUUUUAGGUAGUGUUCGGUGUUUCCCCGUAGUGUUGUCUAUCGCCAGCAACAUAUUCAACGUCAAAGAAUAAUAGUUUCGUGUACUAUGCCGAUAUCCAAUUUUUUUGGUCGCUAAGUGGUGUCUUAUGAGAAGGUUGUGCUCGCUGACUCAUCAGACAAAAUACAUUUCAAGUAGUUUCUUAUGUCAUUAUCGGGAGUGCACUUAUGUUAAUUUGUAGCCAUCGAAGAGAAGCUUUUUCAAAAAAAUAAUAUUCGUAUUCUUGUAAAAGUACCCGGGUCAUUUCACGUAGUAAUAGUGAUUUUUUGCAUUUUUGUGUGUGUGUUAAGUCUGCGACGGAUAUCAGUGUUGGCUUUCUGUGGUGGUUUCGUGUCACCCCGUCUCCCUUUCAUUUUUUUAUCGAAAGGAUCGAGCACAGGUCGUGAAAGAUCUGGAGCAAUCGCGGAAUCAACUAGCUGGAUUCUGUCUCCAGUGUCAUAAACGCCAUUCAUGACGUCGAACAUGGGCAAACGCAUUCACAUGCAAGAUACAUUCUAGGAUGGUGUACCCGCACUACGAUGUCUCAUCGGCGGCGACGUGGGGGACAUGCGGCGGGGCGUCGAGCAGCACCUCGGACUCGGGGGGUGGCGACAUGAAGGGGUGCGGGGGCGGCGGUGGCGGUGGC